Molecule: ribosomal RNA, 199 nt
Filed under: uncultured bacterium
Lineage: Bacteria
Description: partial 16S ribosomal RNA
Rfam family: Bacterial small subunit ribosomal RNA
Source: RNAcentral
CGGAUCGGAGUCUGCAACCCGACUCCGUGAAGCUGGAUUCGCUAGUAAUCGCGCAUCAGCCAUGGCGCGGUGAAUACGUUCCCGGGCCUUGUACACACCGCCCGUCAAGCCAUGGGAGCCGGGGGUGCCUGAAGUUCGUUACCGUAAGGACCGACCUAGGGCAAAACUGGUGACUGGGGCUAAGUCGUAACAAGGUACC